This 2951-nucleotide long non-coding RNA is filed under the name Podarcis lilfordi (Lilford's wall lizard). Lineage: Eukaryota; Metazoa; Chordata; Lepidosauria; Squamata; Lacertidae. The record is from RNAcentral.
UAUACUGAGUUUCAAUAUUUAAUGUAUUAAUGUGCUGCAAAUGUAUGGUUGCAAAUAUAAGCAUUUUUUAAAAAGCUUUUUAAGCUUUGAAAAUGGGAGGGGAAGGAGAUCUGGGUCCGAGUGCAAAAGAUUCUGAACCAACCCCCUACUGAUGCUUCUGGUGGCAACAAGUUCAGGGGAUAUCUCUAUGGGUCCAUGGUUCUGUGUCACUUUACUUUUGGAAAUGUUGGUUGCAACAUGCUACUUCUGCGCUUUAAAGGAGUGGAAUGCAGAUGCCCCCUGCGACUUGCUACACACUUGUUCCAACCUGUUCUUUGUUAAGCUUGUUGGUUGUUCUUGUGUAGGCAAGUCAAAGUAUCUGGCCAGCCAGAGGUGGAGGGAGGUUCAAGGUGCCAGUCUCUCUUGAGGUCCACCCACACCACCCACCUGUCCCUUGACCCAAACACUCACUCUGCCUACAUUUGUACUACUGUAUUUAUUUACAAGGCUUGCAAUCGUUUGCACUAUUCAUUUCCAAGUUAUUUACUAUUUGUUCACAAUAUUUUGUACUGUAGUUGGGAUCUGUCUAUCUCGAGACAAUGGAGUGUGCCUCCUGGGGUGAAGUCAAACCAUUGUGUUAAGAGCACUGAAGUGACCUCCCCGGGGUACAAGCCUGGGUGCAGUGUGUGUGGAAGUCCUGGGCUGCCCACAUGACAAGAGCCCCAUCUCAGCCUUGCUGAUGUCGUCCAAAGGAAAGCAGAGCAAUACAUUUGACACUGGCUUGGCUGCAGGAAUUGCCGGAAGGAGGCGUACAAGGUGCCAUCCAGUCACCUUAGGGACUCCACUUCAGAUUUGUGUAGGGUUUUCUCCUUGGUUUGUACUAUUUAUUCACUGUUUGUAUGCUCAUCAUUUGCUAUUUAUUUGCAAUCGUUUGUGCUCUUUAUUUCCUGUUUGUUUGCGCAAGGGAAGUCUCCUUGUCCAUGGUGUGAGCCAGGGCCAAGCAGGGAUUUUGCUGCCCUCCCAACUCACAGCUGCUUUGUGGAAAGUGUGUCUGAAUUGCAAAUAACUGAAUGGCGAGAAGGGGGGGGAGAGCAGUUUCUGCUAUGCCCGAGCCCUUCCUCCUUGGGCCAGGGACAUUCCCUUCAGGGGUUCCCCAGUUCUUCCUUGGGCUUCUUCCAUCCUGAUCUGUAAAAGCAGCCACCAUCUCUGCUUCCUGCCUCUUUGCUGGAGGGGCUGGUUGUGAGGCAAACUCUGCAAUAGCUGCUGGGGCAAGGGGCUGGGGGGCUGGGGAGAAAGCCGAAAUCAGCAGUUUUAUUUUUAAACCAAAGCACCUGUCAAAGCCAUGUGACAAAUUGACUGGCCUUUCUCUCUCCCCCUGCCCACCCUCGAGGCUUCAGUAAUUGAAUCAUAAACUUGGUGAAGUUCGUAAUGUCACUGUUUCAAAUGAAGAUUUUUUUUAAAAAAAAGUUGGUUCAUUUAAAUCUCAAAUGUGGGCUUCCUUUUGUUUUCGUUUUGUGGGUGCUUAGCUAUAAUUGAGAUCUUUUCCUGAGCCUGCCCACCCCCCUCCGGCCUCCAAGGCUGAACACUGUUGGGCAAACAACGAAUCCCUGAAGUCUGUUAAGAAAGAAAACAGAGAACUUUGCAAUUUAAGCUUUGCACACCUAUUUCCAAGUUAAUUGUUUUCCAAUCUGAUGUAUAGCAGCUACAUUUUCUCUGCCUUUUGAUUAAUAGCUUUGCUAAUUAUGUGGCAAGGAGAGAUGGCUGGAUAGAUUUUAGACUUCUCUUGAUAACGUCCAAAGGGUUAGCCAUGCUAGUGUCUUGCAGCAAAAAGAUCAAAGGAUCUUGCGGCACUUGAAAUGACAUGGGGAUUUAUGAAGGCAUAAACUUUUGUGGGCAGCAGUCUCCUUCAUCAGAUGCAUGGAGUGUUACCUGAGUUUUGUGUGUGUGUGUGUGUGUGUGUGUGCGCGCGCGCACCAGGAGGAAUUGUAAAAAGUGAGGCCAGAGGAAGAUUGACUGCCCAGGCUGCUCUGCCAUGGACCUUUAAGUGGCCGUCUUAGGCUGAAGGAGCCAAUCUGUGGUGCCAAUCUGCUGAAUUAAAAGUCUGCGUCAAUAGAUUCAAUGAUAAAACUUGUAGGCUGAGCUGGGAGAAGGGUGUUUUAGCACACAGAACCAUGCAAUUGUAGAGUUGGAAGGGACCCUGAGAGUCAUCUAGUUCAACUCCCUGCAAUGCAGGAAUCUCAGCUAAAGCAUCCGUGACAGAUGGCCAUCCAACCUCUGCUUAAAAACCUCCAAGGAAGGAGAGCCCACAACGUCCCGAGGGAGAUCAUUCUACUGUCAAACAGCUCUUACUGUCAAAAAGUUAUUCCUGAUGUUUAGUUGGAAUCUCCUUUCUUGUAACUUGGAAGUCAUUGGCUUGAGUCCUACCCUCCAGAGCAAGAGCAAACAAGCUUGUUCUCUCUUCCAUGUGACAGCCCUUGAGAUAUUUAAAGAUGGCUAUCAUAUCCCCUCUCAGUCUCCUCUUUUCCGGGCUAGGCAUACCCAGCUCCUUCAACUGCUCCUCAUAAGGCUUGGUUUCCCUUCUUGUGGUUUCUAGCAACUGGUAUUCAAGAAGCAUUACUGCCUCUUUCUGUCCCUGUUCAACAUUUGCAAGUUGCAUGUUAGUUUAGAGCAGGGGUAACCAACCUAAGGUCCAUGGGCCGGAAGUGGCCUGUGGAGGUUUCUUUGAGUGGCCCACGAGCUCCCCCCAAACUGAGAUGCCCGCCCGUGCGCUGCGCUAAACCAGCGCAACGCGGGGACUCGCUUCCGUGGUGCCAGAAAUUGUGUCUGUGCAUGUGCAGAAGCUGAAAAAUGCAGCUGUGCAUGUGGUCUCUUGUGCGAUCUGGCCCACGGAGGGAUCUCCGUGGGACGGAUGCAGCCCAGGCAAGAUAUAUAUAUAUUUGAAAUGAUAUUUAUUAAGAAUUUUAAAGUUACAG